Molecule: ribosomal RNA, 2972 nt
Filed under: Solanum pennellii
Lineage: Eukaryota; Viridiplantae; Streptophyta; Magnoliopsida; Solanales; Solanaceae
Description: bacterial LSU rRNA
Rfam family: Eukaryotic large subunit ribosomal RNA
Source: RNAcentral
AUGAGCCAGGCACGCCCGUUCGAGCGCGAUAGGGUCCAAAGCAAGCACGUCUGUCAUUCGCAAGAAGCAUUCAUUUUAUGCAGAUAGGAAUCCAAUACCACUCAUGCCCAAUACCACUCAUGCACCCCGACCAGAUGUGGAACGGUGACGUUCCAUCGAUCGACUCGAGGCGUGGACAAGCAUAUAUUGGAGGGCGGCCAAUGCCCGGGCUCUCGAUACGCUCGUGGAACGUCGUCUCCUCGAUUGUGGUAGGUAGCAUGCGCCUCUGGCAUGCUUCCGCAUAUACGCGCUCCAGAUGCUUGUCUUGGGCUCCCCAUUCGACCCGUCUUUAAACACGGACCAAGACAUGUGUGCGAGUCAACAGGCGAUUACACCCAUAAGGCGUGAGGAAGCUGAUUGGUGGGAUCCCCCUAAGGGGUGCACCGCCGACCGACCUGAUCUUCUGAGAAGGGUUUGAGUGUGAGCAUACCUGGCGGGACCCAAAAGAUGGUGGCCUAUGCCUGAGCGGGGAGAAGCCAGAGGAAAAUCUGGUUGAGGCUUGCAGCGAUACUGACGUGCAAAUCGUUCGUUUGACUUGGGUAUAGGGGCGAAAGACUAAUAGAACCUUCUAGUAUCUGGCUCCGUAUAAAGUUUCCCUAUGGAUAGAUGAAUCUCGCAUGCGAGUUCUAUCAGGUAAAUCCAAUGAUUAGAGGCCUAGGGGGCGCAAAAGCGCCAUCGACUUAUUUUUAAAGUUUAAAUAGGUAGGACGGAGCGACUGCAUUGUUGAGCCGCGCCAUGGAAUCAAGAGCUCCAAGUGGGAAACUUUUGGUAAGCAGAAUUGGCGAUGCGGGAUGAACCAGAAGACGGGUUACGGAGCCAAACUGCGCUCUAACCUAGAUCCCGCAAAGGGUGUCGUUUGAUUAAGACAGCAUGACGGUGGUCAUGGAAGUGGAUAUCCGCUAAGGAGUAUGUAACAACUCACCUGCUGAAUCAACUAGCCACGAAAAUGGAAGGCGCUUUAACACGUUACCUACACCCAACCGUAGGGUCAAGUUCUAGGCCCCGAUGAGUAGUAAGGGGCCACGAUCGCUGCAAACCUUGGGCGUGAUCCUGGGCUGAGCGACUGUCUUUGCAAAUCUUUGUGGUAGUAGCAAAUAUUCGAAUGAGAACUUUAAAGGUCGAAGAGGGGAAAGGUUCUAUGUGAACGACACUUGCACAUGGGUUAGUUGGUUUAUAAGGGUCGGGGGAACCCCAAUAGAUAACACAUCUCGCAAGUAAUCCAAAAUAAAAUUGAGUUAAAAUUCUUGAUCCAAGACGUGGCGGUUGACGACAAAGUUGGUAAGUCCAGAGACGUCAGCGGGAGCCUCAAGAAGAGUUAUCUUUUUUGUUUAAAAGCCUGCCCACCCUGGAAUCAGCUCAGCGCAGGUAGGGUCCAACGUUGGAAGAGCACCGCAUGUUGUGUGGUGUCCGGUGCUCUCCCGGCGGCCCAUUAAAAUCCAGAGAAUUGAAUGUCGUCCACGUUCGGUCGUACUCAUAACCGCGUCAGGUCUCUAGGUGAACAACCUCUGAUCAAUAACAUAAUGUAGGCAAAGGAAGUCGGCAAAAUGGAUUCGUAACUUCGAGAAAAGGAAUGGCUCUGAGGGCUGGACACAGGGGUCCAUGUCCCGAACCCAUCGGCUAUUGGUGGACUACUUCAGUUGCUCCCGCAGCGAGAGCAGGUCGCCGCAUGCCGGCCGAGGGACGUACUGGGAACGAUUCCUUCGGGGGCCUACCCCGGGCGUCGAACAGCCAACUCAAAAUAGGUACGGAUAAGGGGAAUCGGAUUGGUUAAUUAAAACAAAGCAUUGUGAUGGUCCCUAUGGAUGUUUACAAAAUGUGAUUUCUUCCCAGUGCUUUGAAUGUCAAAGUGAAUAAAUUCAACCAAGCGCGGGUGAACGGCGGGAGUAACUAUGACUCUUUUAAGGUAGUCAAACGCCUCAUCAUCUAAUUAGUGACGCGCAUGAAUGUAUUAACGAGAUUUCCACUGUUCCUAUCUACUAUUCAGUGAAACCAUAACCAAGGGAACGGGCUUGGAAGAAUCAGCGGGGAAAGAAGACCCUGUUUAGCUUGACUCUAGUCCGACUUUAUGAAAUUACAUGAGAGGUGUAGUAUAAUUGGGAGUCGAAAGGCAAAAGUGAAAUACCAGUAUUUCAACGUUAUUUUACUUAUUCUGUGAAUCAAAAGAGGGGAACUGCCUCUCUUUUUUGACCCAAGGCUCUCUUCGCGGGUCAAUCCGGGCGAAAAACAUUGUUAGGUGAGAAGUUUGGUGGGGCGGCACAUCUGUUAAAAUAUAGUGCAUGUUUCCUAAGAUGAGCUCAACGAGAACAGAAAUCUCGUAUGGAACAAAAGGGUAAAAUCUCGUUCGAUUUAGAUUUCCAUUACAAAUACGAACCGUGAAAGCGUGGCCUGACGAUCCUUUAGACCUUCGGAAUUCAAAGCUAGAGGUGACAGAAAAACUACCACAGGAUAACUAGCUUGUGGAAGUCAAGCGUUCAUAGCGAUGUAUGUUUUUAAUCCUUUGAUGUCGGCUCUUCCUAUCACUAUGAAGCACAAUUCACCAAGUGUUGGAUUGUUCACCCACCAAUAGGGAACGUGAGUUGGGUUUAGACCGUCAUGAGACAUGAUAGAUUUACCCUACUAAUGACGGUGUUGCAAUAGUAAUUCAACCUACUACGAGAGGUACCGUUGAUUCAGACAAUUGGCCAUCGCGCUUGGUUCAAAAGCUAGUGGCGCGAAGCUACCGUGUGAUGGAUUAUGAUUGAACAACUCUAAGUCAGAAUAUGGUCUAGAAGCGACGCAUACGCCAAUUGUCCGCUUGACGACCCGCAGUAGGCCCCCAAGAGCACGUGUUGUUGGCUAAGUCACCACUACGGAAGCAUCGUGGUGACCGCCUUGAAGUACAAUUUCCAUCGAGUAGCGUAUAAAAUCCUUUGAAGAUGACUAAAAUAUGCGUU